This 630-nucleotide ribosomal RNA is filed under the name Triticum aestivum (bread wheat). RNAcentral's name for it is "partial small subunit ribosomal RNA". Lineage: Eukaryota; Viridiplantae; Streptophyta; Magnoliopsida; Poales; Poaceae. The record is from RNAcentral.
AUGUACCAAGGUGGUUCUUCAACAAAGAAGGGACCCAGGUGUGCUAUGCCUAAGCAAGACGAUGAACCACCAAGGGAAGCUGAUGUGCGGCCUUGUGAAUGGCCGUCAGAAGAGUUUAUGGUCAAGGCAGGCAUCAAGGAUGAAUUUGAUGCAUAUGUGCGUAACGCCGAUCUUGAGGACUUCAUGCAAGAUAAGUGUCCGCAGUACUACUAUUUGACUGAUUUAUUCGUGAUAAGGUUUAAAUUUACAUCUUCGCGUAAUUCUCAAAGUGUCCCAUUUGAUAUUUAUGAUCAAUCAUAUACCAUGGACCUAGAAUAUUUUACUACUGCUUGCAAACUCCCACAAUGGGGUAAUGUUAAUGAACCCCGUAAAUCUGAAUAUAAGGACUUUCUUGCUAGUAUCACUGUGGGAGAAUCUAGAGAUAUAGCACAAGCUACCAUAGGGAGCAUUCAUUUUCCUGUUAUACAUUAUUUUGCUCUCUUCAUUGGUAGACGCAUUAAUGGUAAAGAUGAAGCAUGUCACAUGUGUGUUCCUGAUCUUUGUGUCCUCAAGAGUGUUGUAUUAGGAAAUAAGGAUUACAACUUGGGGGCAAUUGUUGCACGUAGGUUGCAUAAUAAUGGUUUAGUUUGA